CUUGCCUCUAUUUGGAAUGGUACCAGAAUAUCUGUGUUUUUCUAUGAAGAAAAAAAAAUUUUUUUUUGACUGGUCUCAUUCUGUUGUUGUCCAGGCUGGAGUGCAGUGGUGUGAUCACUGCUCACUGCAGCCUCGACCUCCCCGGGCUCAGGUGAUCCUCCCACCUAAGGCUUCUGAGUGGCGGGGACUACCAGCAUAAAUAGGUGAGACUACACUGCCACACUUGGGUGAUUUUUUUAUUUGCAGAAAUGAGGAUUUGCCAUGUCACCCAGGCUGGUCUUGAACUCCUAGGCUCAUGUGAUCUGCCCACCUCGGCCUCCCAAGUGCUGUUGUAAGAUUACAGGCACGAGCCACCAUGCCCAACCUGAAGAAGUUUUGUUCAGUGAAGUUUGGUGAACUGCCAGUCAUCACCUCACCUCCUGCAGCUCUCGAUGAAGAGAUGCUUACAAAUGAAGAAAAGACCACGCCACAUUCAGAAGCAACCAGCCUAGGGUCAUGAGCUACUCAGUGGUCAAAGCAGAACCGGCGUUCAGCGGCAUCUUCCAAUCUGGUGCUAUUUUUAUUUAUCCUAUAGUCUUGAUUGAUUCCCUGUUCCUUCCUUCUCCUUCCUCUCUGGCUGGGGUGACACUACCACACGUGGUAAUAGCAGACUGAGAGGCACAAUUUGCUUAGUGGGGAAAAUCCUUACUUGGAAGUCAGUCUACCUGAAUGCCAUUAACCCUCGGGCAAGUCACUAACCUGAGUUUCAGUUUCCUCAACUGUAAAAUGGGGAUAGAGAGGCUUCCCUCCUAGGGCGUGGGAGGACAAAAAGAGUUAAUCAAUGUAUGCACAACAGUGCUUGCGAGGUUCUGUGUCCGUUAUCACUGCUAUGCUAAUAUUGCCAGAGUUUACAAUGGCUUUUUUAAAUUUUGAGACAGAGUCUUGCUCUGUCACCCAGGCUGGAGUGCAGUGGUGUAAUCUCCGCUCACUGCAACCUCCACCUCCUAGGUUCAAGCAGUUCUCUGCCUCAACCUCGCAAACAGCUGCAGCUGGGACUACAGGUGCCUGCCACAAUGCCUGGCUAAUUUUGUGUGUGUGUAUUUUUUAGUAGAGACAGGGUUUCACCAUGUUGACCAGGCUGGUCUUGAACUCCUGACCUCAGGUGAUCCACCCACCUCCGCCUCCCAAAGUGCUGGGAUUAUAGGUGUGAGCCACUGUGCCCAGCUCCAAUGGCUCUUAGGAGGAACACCUCUCCUCUUUCUCAGGUAAAAAAUGUACUUUUCUCUGUAACUAAAGCUUUUUAUACUUGCGUGGAGCCACGAAGUCCAUUUCCAGCUCCCUGGAUAUAGGGACUGAGCUUGAGAGUGCUCUCAUGAGUACUAAUGCCAACAAGGUGUCGGGCUAUGUGAACUGUGAAUGCUUAAACCUGCAGCUCUGUCUUCCUGGCCCUGUGUGGACACCUGCAUGCCACAAGGCCACCUCAGUACCAUGGUUAGCAUGCCCCCUGUUCCUAUUUGGUUAAAUGGUAUAAUGCCAAGGCCAUCUGGCCUGGUAGGAAGAGCUGGGCUUUGAAUUCUUACCACCAGUGUGACUAGGCAAAUAGCUUUCAUCUAUUCAACCAAUAUUUAUUGAGGACCUAUAUGCCUAAGCCCCAGGUACUAAUAUAAUAUCUACUAUGGAGUAAGGAAGCUCUUCUUGUACCUUACCUCAUCUGACCCACACAGCCCCCAAAACAGAUUUUUGCUUUGGGUUUUUGUUUUUUUUUUUUUAUGAAAUGGAGUCUUGCUCUGUCGCCCAGGCUGGAGUGCAGUGGCAUAAUCUUGGCUCACUGCAACCUCCACCUCCUGGGUUCAAGUGAUUCUCCUGCCUCAGCCUCCCGAGUAGCUGGGAUCACAGAUACGCUACACCACAGCUGACUAAUUUUGGUGUUUUUAUUGGAGAGGGGUUUCGCCAUGUUGGUCAGGCUGGUCUCAAACUCCAACAGGUGAUCCACCCGCCUCCGCCUCCCAAGGUACUGGGAUUGCAGACGUGAGCCACCGCGCCCAGCCCGAAGCUUUGAAACUGUACUACACAUCAACAUCAUGCCACAGGUUAUUAACAUAUCAAGCCAGAGAAGAUCAAACAACAAAAGAGUGUACCUCCUGCCUGGACCAUCAAGGAGUUACGCUGUCCUGAAACUGACCCCUUUCUACGUUUGCUUUCCAGAGUCAAAGGGACUCUUCUGAUCCACAGUCAGACGCGUUAUCCAUUGAGCCACUGGCCCUUCGACACAGGGACUCUUUAAAUCAGUAAUCUCCACUUCCAUUCCAGGUUAGGAGCCCUUCUGUUUAGCAAGCAAGGCGACCAUCUUCAUUUAUCCACUAGAGGGUACCCAAACACUGCUUAUAAAAGACAAAACAACCAGACCCUGUUCAAUGGGCAGAGAUCAGAGUUUACCAUCUGUCUGGAAGAGUUCCUACACUUAAAACGCAUUGCACAGAGGUGGCAGGGCACGGAAGAAUAAACUCAACUCUCGCCCAUUAGUACCAGACGUUGCCUGGAAACAGAUCUGACAAGAAAAGCGGUCAGCUGGCUGAGACAAAGAUGAACGAGUAAAGACAUGGAAGGGCAAACUUAAUCUACAAACUCACAGCCGCCUCCUCACACCCCUGCAGAGUUCUUACUGAAGUGUGUUUAAUACUUUAAUGGGGAACUGUGUGGCGCCUCAACCAGUACAACUGAAGGGCUCAGGUCUUGCUGCUUUCUCCAACAAGGCACUUGGCUAGAAAGGUAGUUUGUAUUAGGGAAUGGAGAGCUGGCUCUUGGGAGAAGCAUGUCUCAAUUGCCCCGGAGAAUUCUGAACCAUAUGGUUGUCUUUCUAUUUUCAAACAACAUGAAAAUGGGCAUCUCCUGGCCCUCUCUGACCUCUUCUGAAGUCCCACCAUAGGAUUCCUCUGGAUACUCUACUCCAGAUUAGAACAAAACUUGAGGCCUAGAUAUUGUUAGUAAUUUCUGAAUUAUCUUUUUUAAAAUCAAAUUUAAUUGAUUUUACUAUACUUUAAGUUCUGGGGUACAUGUACAUAUCAUGCAGGAUUGUUACAUAGGUAUACACGUGCCAUAGUGGUUUGCUGUCUCCAUCCCCCCAUCACCUACAUUAGGUAUUUCUCCUAGUUAUCCCUCCCCAAUCCCCCCACCCUGUUCUCCCUCCUCUAGUCCCCCACCCCCCAACAGACCCCUCCCUGUGUCCACGUGUUCUCGUUGUUCAACACCCACUUAUGAGUGAGAACAUGUGGUGUUUGGUUUUCUGUUCUUAUGUCAGUUUGCUGAGAAUGAUGGUUUCCAGAUUCAUCCAUGUCCCUGCAAAGGACACGAACUCAUCCUUUUGUUUGGCUGCAUAGUAUUCCAUGGUGUAUAUGUGCCACAUUUUCUUUAUCCAGUCUAUCCUCAAUGGGCAUUUGGGUUGAUUCAAAGUCUUUGCUAUUGUGAACAAUGCCACAAUAAACAUACGUGUGCAUGUGUCUUUAUAACAGAACGAUUUAUAAUCCUUUGGGUAUAUACCUGUGGGAAGAAAGUUACCCAGGUGCCACGGCAAGAGACUGAAGGCACAAUCUGUCCCAGCAAGAUAAAUAACGGAUUACUUAGUUAUAGCAAUGGUACCAAAUAGAUUUACUGAUUACUUAAUUAUAGCCAUGAUAUAUUUACUGAUUACUUAUAGAAAUGACACCAAAUAGAUAUUAGAUUCAAUCACAGAAUCAAUUAUAUAAUCAAUCUUAUUAUAUCAUUAUUCGCUAUUGAUCUUUGCUUUAUUGUAGGAACAUUUUAGUUUUAGAGUAAAGACAUAAUCGGGUGAAAUAUAAUUCGGAACUGAAGGGACAUUGUGAGAAGUGAUCAGGAGGUGAGAGUAAAUGCCUUGCAGUAACACCAGCGCCUGGGAAGGCACCGGUUACCUAGCAGGCAGGCCUUGCCAUAACGCCAGCGUCUGGGGAGGCGCCCGUUACUUAGCUGUGAGGGGGAGUUUCCCUCUCACUGGGGAGUUCAGAAAACUCUGCCCUGCCAGCUCUUGAGGAAGAUCUGACACUAGCCAGGCCGGCCCACAGACAUCCAGGGGUUUAAACACCUCUCCGUGGUGCUGUGCUCCAGUGGUCACCAUCCUCGUCCACUUUCAUGUUCCACUUUCCCACCUUGUAAAUUCUUAGAAGCUGUGAGAAUAGAGGAAUCCUAAAAGUCUUUGAUCUCUCUGAUAAGUACAUAGAAAGAUACUGAAGUAUAUGCCUCCCCUCUUUGCAGUGGCUACCUGAGAGGUAAGGGCCCUCUGUGCUGUACCCACGUGACCCCCUGAACUGUACCCAUGUGGCCCCCCCCGUAUUGUAAGAAUGUGAUUUCCUUGACCCCUACCAAUCACUCUCCUGACCCUGCCCCCCUGCCUUGUAUACAAUCAUUAUCAGUGUGUCCAGGCUUUCAGGGCCACUGCUGGGCUCCAUGCCUCUUUGGUAGCAGUGGUCCCCUGAGCCCAGCUGAAUUCUUCUCCUAUCUCUGUGUCCUUGUCUCUUUCUUUUCUACGAUCUAUUGUCUCUGCACACAAAUGAACACCUGCUACACCCUGUGGGGCUAGACCCUGCAUAUACCCAAGUAAUGGGAUUGCUGGGCCAAAUGGAAUUUCUAUUUCUAGAUCCUUGAGGAAUCACCACGCUGUCUUCCACAAUGGUUGAACUAAUUUACACUCCCACAAACAGUAUAAAAGCGUUCUUCACAUCCUCUCCAGCAUCUGUUGUCUCCAGAUUUUUUAAUGAUCACCAUUCUAACUAGCGUGAGAUGGUAUCUCAAUGUGGCUUUUAUUUGCAUUUCUGUAAUGACCCUUAGGACUUUAGUCUGAUAUUCUAUGAUCAGCUAAAGACAACAAUGUGACAAUACCACUGGAUCCUGAUUUUCCCAGCAGGCAAUGGAAUGGAAAUCAGUCUAUUGGGCUGACUUUAAAAUAUGCCCACAACCUCUUUGAUGCUCUUCUUGAAGGUAAGUGCGACUUAGUGACUUGGUUUUGAUGAGCAGAAUGUGUUAGAAAUGAUGCUAUGUGACUUGGGAGGCUGUGUCAUAAAAAGGAGAUAGCCUCCUCCAGCUGUCUCACUCUUGGGUCACUUCCUCUGGGGAAGCUAGCAGCCAUGUUGUGAGGACACUCAAGCAGCCUUGCAGGGAGGUCAACAUGGAACAGAACUGAAGUUUCCCACCAACAGCCAGCACCAGCUUGCCAGCCACGUGAGUGAAGCUGAUUCUCCAAGCUGAAUCCUCAGAAGUGAAAUCUGCAGCCCCAGUUAAACUUUAAAUGACUGCAGCUCUGGCUGACAUCUGAUGGAACCUCAGGAAAACACCUGAGCCAGGGCUGCUCAGCCAAGUUGAUUCUGAAUUCCUCAUGUAUAGACACUGUGAGUGAUAAUAAAGGUCUACAACUGCUUUAGGCCAUUACAUUUGAGGGUAAUUUAUUACACAGAAUUAGACGGCUAAUAUACCUAGUACCAUCCAAUUUUGUCUUAUAUACAAUAGGUAGUGUGUUAGGUACAAAGCCUGGGACACCCAGCUUUGUUAUGAAUUUGCUGUGUGACCACAGGCAUAACUAUGUCUCUGAGCCUCAGUUUGUACCUCCACAAGAUGGGUACAUCAUCACCUAGGUUGCAACAGGGUCUUAAGGUGUCUGUAAAGAUAGAGGUAAAAGCAGUAAUAUCACUGUCAUGCUUUUCCAUUUCUUUUUUUGAGAUGGAGUCUCACUCUGUUGCCCAGGCUAGAGGGCAGUGGUGCGAUCUUAGCUCACUGCAACCUUCGUCUCCAGGGUUCAAGCAAUUCUCCUGCCUCUGCCUCCAGAGUAGCUGAGACUACAGGCAUGCACCACCAUGCCUGGCUAAUAUUUUGUAUUUUUAGUAGAGAUGGGGUUUCACCAUGCUGGCCAGGCUCGUCUCGAAUUUCAGAGCUCAUGAUCCACCUGCCUCAGCCUCCCAAAGUGCUGGGAUUGCAGGUGUGAGCCACCACACCUGGCCUAGUUUCAUGUUUUUUUCUCCCAGAGAACAUGAUUUAAUGCUUAGCAGAGCUGGUUUCUUAGCAGUAAUGGUCCAGGGUACUCAGUCAGUGAAGGAAAGGAGUGGGAGGUUUCCCAUGCCUUUAGAACGGCUGGGCUCAGGGUGCUGAGGAGCCUUAAGAGCAGAGGCUGGCAUGCUCUUACUGUAAAAGGCCAAAUAGUAAAUAUUUUUGGCUUUGUGGGCCACAUGGUCUCUGCCACAGCUACUCAAUUCUGACACUGUAGCAUGAAAGCAGCAUAGACAAUAGGUAAAUGAAUGGGGAGCAACUGUGUUCACUAAAAUUUUUUUUACAACAGGCAGCUGGCUGGACUUGGCCGCUGGGCUGUAAUCUGCCAACCUCUGCGCCUUGUAGCCAUGGCUUCUCCAUUGAUGUGGUCUGGUCCCAGGCCAGCAGGAUCAGGAUCCCCCAGGAGCACGUGAGAAAACCAGACUUUCGGGCCACAGCCAAAUCUGCUGAGUCAGCAUUUCUGGAAGGAGCCCAGCAAGGCGUCUUCACAAGCCCAGGCAGCUCAGGUUUAAGAAGCCCUAUCUUCUUCCCUCUUUCUCAUGGGCUGCUCCACGCACCAGAGACUUAAGAGGAAUACUGAAUGCUGAUGCCCCAAUCAAAGACCUUCUCAGGACUCACAAAGAACAGACCUUCCCCCAGAAUCAGUGAAACAUACUUGGAUCAUGGUCCUGGGUCAGCAGUAAGUACAGCAGCAGCCAGCCCCAGGCAGACAGCUUAGGGUCUUCAGGAACACUGGACAAAUUCGUGAAAGACGCUUAAAGUGAGGGGAUUGGAUCUGGUGUAUUCCAGGGCCACCUCUGCCCGCAGGCCUGGACGGCGUUAUCUGCGGUCACCUGCUAACCUGGCUCCCACAUUUACUUACUUCUUUAAACACUUUUCCAUUUCACAUGUUGGUUUCUGCUGUGGUUUGAAUGUGGUCCCCAAAUUUUUAUAUGUUGGAUACUUGGUCCUCAAUGCAGCCGUGUUGAGAGGUGGGAUCUCUGGGAGGUGAUUGGAUCCUGAGGGCUCUGCUCUCAUAAAUGGAUUAAUCCAUUCAUGGAUUAAUGAGUUAUCAAGGGAGUAGGUUUGUUAUGACAAAAGGGAGACUGUUUUAAAAGCCAGUCUUACUGUCUCUCGUGAGCCCCCUUGCUAUGUGAUGGCCUAUACCGCCUCAAAACUUUGCAGAGGGUCCCCACCAGCAAGAAAGCCCUCAUCAGCUGUGAUGCCCUGACCUUUGGCUUCCCCGCCUCCAAAACUGGAAGAGACAAUGGUUUUCUUAAUAGAUUACCCAGUCUCGGGUAUUCAGCCAUAGCAACAGAAAACAGACAAAGACGAUUUCCUUCUGUUUUGGUGAAGCAUGGGGUAUAAAAGGCAAAGAGGAGAAGAACAAAAUGAAUGCUAUCUCCUAAGGAAUACAACUGAGAUAAAGGCUUAUAGGAAAGAAGCAACAGGAAAGACGAUGAGAGAGUAGUGAGGAAGAGGCCAGUCUCUAUAAAAACUGCUGCUUCUGUGUGGGAGAGAAACGCUUAUGAAUGACAGUAAACCUCUUACCUCUAACCAGCACGAUAUUUCUAUAAGACAUCACCUUACGUUGCUCACAUCUCAUUUAGCUACAAAGUUGCAUGAUAGAGAUAUGACCAUCUCUCUUUUAGGGAGGGAAACUGAGGCUUACAGCAGUGAAGGGCUAUGUUCAAAAGCACAUUCUGCAAAGCUGCUGGAGACCUGGCUGAAAGGCAGGUCUAGGCUUCCUUUCUGCUACAGAGCCUCCCAGCACUGCCACAGGUCCACAGCCCAGUUCGAGGUCAAGAUAAAAUCUUACAUGUACAAGCCUUGAAUUGUGCCGACUCUACUUUACCACAGGUCCCCUGAAGGGACUGCACAGAGCCUGAGAACCGGCUCUACCUGGGAUAGCUCCACCUCUGUCCUUCUACCUUUAGGCACUAGGGAGGAAGGUGGGAGGAGGGCGGGACAUCACACAAAAAGGUUCAGGUGUGGUUGUACAACUGUGCAUGUAUCAAAAGCCACACAGCUACUCUUUAGUGUCAAUCUCAAAAGAAAUGAAAUAAAAAUCAAACAAGGAGGAUUAUGAAAUGCUUCCCUCCACCAAAGAUGCCACACAUUUGCCCCAGCGCUGGCGGUGUGAGAAGCCGUGCCCUCAUGCUGAGAGUCACUGUGCUGGAGGGCCUCUCCCACUUGGCCAGGCUGCUUUCUGGAGUCUGUCAUUCCCUCAGUCCACUUGCCCUCUGGAUGUUUAACUGCUUCUGAGUGCAGGAAGUAAGACCGUGCGCUUCUUCCUCAAGGGAGAGGUCUGAUCUCCUACCCAGCAAGUCUCCCUGAUUUUAUGAAACUGAAAGGGCCCUGGCAGACAUACACGCCCUUUAGGAAUCUAUAUUCCUUUGUCAUGUCCAUUCUUCAUUCUGAAAUUCCUGGGUUAUCAGACCUUCUUUCACACAGAAGAAAAUUUAGGAGAGCCUUAAAUCAUAAUGAUCAGUCCGGGAAACACAUGAGAACAGGUGACCUUCAGCACAUCUGUUCUACCCAAUUAGCCUUCGCCCCCAUGGCUGCCAGCUGCACCAGGCUUAGUAGAGUCCAAUGGUCAAGGUUAGUGAACUCAUGGCUGCAGAGAUAGAGAGAGUUGCCCACCUGGCCCCUGAAAACAAGUUUAGGAAUGUCAAGCCCUCCAUGGAGGUGAGUCUGGCUGCGCACGUUUCACGAAGCUUUUCCCCAGGCAAGCUGGUCUGCUUCCGGCGGGAGAUGUACAGCUUACCAGAGGGUCCCACGACCCCCCACCUAGUGCGCCUGACUCCACCAUGCCAGAAUCUCCUUCUUUGUCUACAUCCAUCAGGAGAUGGGCACAAAUACACGCAAGGUGGGGAGAAUGACAGGUACAGGAAGGCGUCAUACUCUCCAGCUCUCCCAGGAAAGGAGUGGGAUGGAGAGCACAGCCUCAUGCCAGCUUGGCAGACCCACUGGUGCCCCUGGAGACCAAGCCAGGUCCUUCCUGCUAUCUGUGACAGAAGAGCCCUGGCAGGAUAGAGUUAUAAUUCCUGGCCAGGCCUCCCCACUUGGGCAGAGUAUGUCAAAGGUAAACUCCAGGAGCAGGUGGGCACUGAGAGACACUGCCCCUCAAUGUGCCAGCAACUUCUCCCUUCCCUCCCUCCCUCACCAAGAUGGCCCGGGGGCUAGUGGAGCAAGAGUGCAGAAGGCCCUUGGCCUCACCAUCUGGAAGGUAGGAGUUGGCGGUUUUCAACUGAGGCAGAGGAGGGCAGGCAUGAGUGACGGAUGUCACUGGUUCACUUUACACCAUUUUUUUAACUGGGGGAAGGGAGGUGAACUUUAAGCGGAAAGAAAUUUAAAAUUUGAUUGUCACAUUAAGGCAAAAGGAUACGGUAAACACAAAUUCGGGUAUAUUUUUAAGAGAAAACAUGAGCUGGCUUCAAAAAGCUCAAAUUGUGCUGAGUGGGGAGCUUCUGGGACAUGUUCCUUUGUCCCCCCUUUUUUUUCUUGUUAAUUGACUGUUUUUUAGAGCAGUUUUAGCUUUACAGAAAAAUUGAUUGGGCGUGGGGGCUCACGCCUGUAAUCCCAGCACUUUGGGAGGCUGAGGCAGGAGAAUCACUCUCCCCAGGAGAACCUGGGAGGCGGAGGUUGCAGUGAGCCGAGAUCACACCACUGAACUCCAGCCUCGGUGACAGAGGGAGACUCUCAAAAAAAAAGAACAAGAAAAAUUAAUUGGAACAUGCAGAGUUACCACAUAUCCCCUUCUCUCCUC
Non-coding RNA from Callithrix jacchus (white-tufted-ear marmoset), 9775 nucleotides. The record is from RefSeq and is a predicted model, not a curated record. Lineage: Eukaryota; Metazoa; Chordata; Mammalia; Primates; Cebidae.